This 67-nucleotide transfer RNA is filed under the name Neoneuromus tonkinensis. RNAcentral's name for it is "tRNA-Arg". The record is from RNAcentral. Lineage: Eukaryota; Metazoa; Arthropoda; Insecta; Megaloptera; Corydalidae.
AGUAAGUAUGAAGCGAUAAAUUGCAAUUAGUUUCGACCUAAUCUUAGGUUAAAUAAACCCUUACUUU